AUUGAACGCUGGCGGAAUGCUUUACACAUGCAAGUCGAACGGCAGCACGGACUUCGGUCUGGUGGCGAGUGGCGAACGGGUGAGUAAUGUAUCGGAACGUGCCCAGUCGUGGGGGAUAACGUAGUGAAAAUUACGCUAAUACCGCAUACGAUCUAUGGAUGAAAGCGGGGGAUCGCAAGACCUCGCGCGAUUGGAGCGGCCGAUAUCAGAUUAGGUAGUUGGUGGGGAAAAGGCCCACCAAGCCAACGAUCUGUAGCGGGUCUGAGAGGACGACCAGGCACACUGGAAAUGAGGCGCGGUCCAGACUCCUACGGGAGGCAGCAGUGGGGAAUUUUGGACAAUGGGCGAAAGCCUGAUCCAGCCAUUCCGCGUGCAGGAUGAAGGCCCUCGGGUUGUAAACUGCUUUUGUACAGAACGAAAAGGUUUCUACUAAUACUAGGAGCUCAUGACGGUACUGUAAGAAUAAGCACCGGCUAACUACGUGCCAGCCGCCGCCGUAA
This 500-nucleotide ribosomal RNA is filed under the name uncultured bacterium. RNAcentral's name for it is "partial 16S ribosomal RNA". It matches the Rfam family "Bacterial small subunit ribosomal RNA", at positions 30 to 523 of the family's 1533-position model. The record is from RNAcentral.